This 466-nucleotide ribosomal RNA is filed under the name uncultured bacterium. Its description in RNAcentral is "partial 16S ribosomal RNA". It matches the Rfam family "Bacterial small subunit ribosomal RNA", at positions 339 to 795 of the family's 1533-position model. The record is from RNAcentral.
CCACGGGCGGCUCCAGUGGGGAAUAUUGGACAAUGGGGGAAACCCUGAUCCAGCAAUGCCGCGUGUGUGAAGAAGGCCUGCGGGUUGUAAAGCACUUUCGGUUGGGAGGACUGCUUCUAGCACUAAUAUUGUUGGAAGUUGACGUUACCUUCAGAAGAAGCACCGGCUAACUCCGUGCCAGCAGCCGCGGUGAAUACGGAGGGUGCAAGCGUUAAUCGGAAUUACUGGGCGUAAAGCGCGCGUAGGCGGCUAGAUCAGUCGGGUGUGAAAGCCCCGGGCUUAACCUGGGAACUGCAUCCGAUACUGUCUAGCUUGAGUACAGGAGAGGAGAGUGGAAUUCCACAUGUAGCGGUGAAAUGCGUAGAUAUGUGGAGGAACACCAAUGGCGAAGGCAGCUCUCUGGCCUGAUACUGACGCUGAGGUGCGAAAGCGUGGGGAGCAAACAGGAUUAGAUACCCCCGUAGUC